AGAGACUCAUUUGUGUAACAAACAUUAAGGGUUGUUCCCUGGGCACUGGCAACAAAGGCCAACCCGGCUGGCUCUCUGAGCUCAAGAAAUCACAGCAUGGCUCAGCGGUGCUCAUUGCUGGCUGCCCACUAGAACUAUUUGAAGAAACAUAAAACUCUGAUGCCCAGACCCACCUCAAGGGUUUUGUUUUGUUUUGUUUGUUUUUUGAGACAGAGUCUUGCUCUGUCACCCAGGCUGGAGUGCAGUGGUGUCAUCUCAGCUCACUACAACCUCUGCCUCCCAGGUUCAAGGACUCCUCCCACCUCAGCCUCCCAAAUAGCUAGGAUUACAGGCACACACCACCAUGCCUGGCUAAUUUUUUGUAUUUUUAGUAGAGACAGGAUUUCACCAUGUUGGCCAGGCUAGUCUUGAACUCCUGACCUCAAGUGAUCUGCCCGCCUUGGCCUUUCAGAGUGCUGGGAUUACAGGUGUGAGCUACCGCACCCAGCCAAGAGAUUGUUUAAUCAGCAAAAGGCUGGGCAGGGCAGUGGGGCCUAGGGCGGCACUUGCUAUCAGAUGUCUGGAGGGCAGGGUUGGCUUUGGCCAUAGAUGGACCUCGGUUCAAAUCCUGGCUGGCCAUACCACUUACCAGCUCUAGACCUAGAGCAGGUUAACAUCAUGAAUCUAAACUACUUACCACUUAACAAAGUGAGUGACUAUCUAUAACUGUUGCCGUUGUUACAAGAAAUCCACUUAGUAACUGCACUGAAAGCCCCUCAUCCCCAAAAGGCAAGAAAUGGGGAACAACCGGGUGACUAAGGAAAACUGCAAGUGAAAGCAGCUGUAAUUUCUCUCGCUGUGGUUUGCGGUGCUCAACACUCUUGCUUGGCUGGUUGUCUUGGAGGGUUAAUGAGGUCUCUGCUGAGUGUCCUCAGCUUAGCAAUGGGCAGUGGGGCUCUGUUCACAGUCUCAUCCCGGCCACGUGGCCUCCCGGGUUCAGACACCCUAGGCUGAUGCUGUGGUUCCAUGUGCCUGAA
Molecule: long non-coding RNA, 1016 nt
Filed under: Homo sapiens (human)
Lineage: Eukaryota; Metazoa; Chordata; Mammalia; Primates; Hominidae
Description: non-protein coding lnc-BCL2L14-4:1
Source: RNAcentral